CAGCCGCCGCGGUAAAACCAGCACCUCAAGUGGUCAGGAUGAUUAUUGGGCCUAAAGCAUCCGUAGCCGGCUCUGUAAGUUUUCGGUUAAAUCUGUACGCUCAACGUACAGGCUGCCGGGAAUACUGCAGAGCUAGGGAGUGGGAGAGGUAGACGGUACUCGGUAGGAAGGGGUAAAAUCCUUUGAUCUAUUGAUGACCACCUGUGGCGAAGGCGGUCUACCAGAACACGUCCGACGGUGAGGGAUGAAAGCUGGGGGAGCAAACCGGAUUAGAUACCCGGGUAGUCCCAGCUGUAAACUAUGCAAACUCAGUGAUGCAUUGGCUUGUGGCCAAUGCAGUGCUGCAGGGAAGCCGUUGAGUUUGCCGCCUGGGAAGUACGUACGCAAGCAUGAAACUUAAAGGAAUUGGCGGGGGAGCAC
RNAcentral lists this ribosomal RNA (420 nucleotides) under uncultured Nitrososphaerota archaeon. Its description in RNAcentral is "bacterial SSU rRNA". It matches the Rfam family "Archaeal small subunit ribosomal RNA", at positions 459 to 879 of the family's 1478-position model. The record is from RNAcentral. Lineage: Archaea; Thermoproteati; Nitrososphaerota.